RNAcentral lists this ribosomal RNA (465 nucleotides) under Vreelandella stevensii. Its description in RNAcentral is "partial 16S ribosomal RNA". It matches the Rfam family "Bacterial small subunit ribosomal RNA", at positions 338 to 795 of the family's 1533-position model. Lineage: Bacteria; Pseudomonadati; Pseudomonadota; Gammaproteobacteria; Oceanospirillales; Halomonadaceae. The record is from RNAcentral.
CCUACGGGUGGCAGCAGUGGGGAAUAUUGGACAAUGGGGGCAACCCUGAUCCAGCCAUGCCGCGUGUGUGAAGAAGGCCCUCGGGUUGUAAAGCACUUUCAGUGAGGAAGAACGCCUGGUGGUUAAUACCCAUCAGGAAAGACAUCACUCACGGAAGAAGCACCGGCUAACUCCGUGCCAGCAGCCGCGGUAAUACGGAGGGUGCGAGCGUUAAUCGGAAUUACUGGGCGUAAAGCGCGCGUAGGUGGCUUGAUAAGCCGGUUGUGAAAGCCCCGGGCUCAACCUGGGAACGGCAUCCGGAACUGUCAAGCUAGAGUGCAGGAGAGGAAGGUAGAAUUCCCGGUGUAGCGGUGAAAUGCGUAGAGAUCGGGAGGAAUACCAGUGGCGAAGGCGGCCUUCUGGACUGACACUGACACUGAGGUGCGAAAGCGUGGGUAGCAAACAGGAUUAGAUACCCCGGUAGUC